Molecule: ribosomal RNA, 253 nt
Filed under: uncultured bacterium
Lineage: Bacteria
Description: partial 16S ribosomal RNA
Rfam family: Bacterial small subunit ribosomal RNA
Source: RNAcentral
UACGUAGGGGGCAAGCGUUGUCCGGAGUUACUGGGCGUAAAGCGUGCGCAGGCGGUUAUGUAAGACAGGUGUGAAAUCCCCGGGCUUAACCUGGGAACUGCAUUUGUGACUGCAUAGCUAGAGUACGGUAGAGGGGGAUGGAAUUCCGCGUGUAGCAGUGAAAUGCGUAGAUAUGCGGAGGAACACCGAUGGCGAAGGCAAUCCCCUGGACCUGUACUGACGCUCAUGCACGAAAGCAUGGGUAGCGAACAGG